Long non-coding RNA from Lolium perenne, 588 nucleotides. RefSeq lists it as uncharacterized. The record is from RefSeq and is a predicted model, not a curated record. NCBI's taxonomy places the organism in Eukaryota, Viridiplantae, Streptophyta, Magnoliopsida, Poales, Poaceae.
GAGGAGGCAGCCACCCCUCUCCCUCUAUAAAAGGGGCUUGGCCGGCCACCUCCCCAUCUUUUGCUUCUCAUUUUUGGACACUCCACUCCUUCCUCCACUCUCUCACACCCUUCUCCUACCUCUUCCCCACGAGCUGAAGCUCCACCAAGGCUCCAUGGCCGGCCAUGGCCAUGAGAGCACACCAAACCGCAGCUCUCCUUCUCUCUCAAGCUCCCCCUCCCCAUGAGAGCAUUCCUCUCACUCUCUUCUCCCCCAACCCUAGCUGGUUUCCUCUCCUCUUCUUCUUCCUCCAUUGCUAAGAUUGGAUCUUGAUGCAGGUGCAUGUUGGUCCAAGCAUGGAGAAGGUUGAGCAAUCCUCAGAUCUGAAGCUCUUGACCAAAAUCCAAAUCGAGUGAUUCAAAGUUCCACAGAUAGGUAUUGAAAAGUUCUACAACUUGGCGUUGGUCUCGUCCUCAAAUUCAUUACGGAUUUGCCUUGAUCAAGAUCUGGUCAGAUCUGGCUUUGUCGAAUUAAACCAGGAGCUUUGGGACGAAUUUUGGAGUGAAACAAGUUGGUUAAGAACCACCUAUUAAUUACCUUUCAGAUGCA